CCUACGGGUGGCAGCAGUGAGGAAUAUUGGUCAAUGGACGCAAGUCUGAACCAGCCAUGCCGCGUGCAGGAAGACGGCUCUAUGAGUUGUAAACUGCUUUUGUACGAGGGUAAACGCAGAUACGCGUAUCUGUCUGAAAGUAUCGUACGAAUAAGGAUCGGCCAACUCCGUGCCAGCAGCAGCGGUAAUACGGAGGAUUCAAGCGUUAUCCGGAUUUAUUGGGUUUAAAGGGUGCGUAGGCGGUCGGAUAAGUUAGAGGUGAAAUCCCGAGGCUCAACUUCGGAAUUGCCUCUGAUACUGUUCGGCGAGAGAGUAGUUGCGGUAGGCGGAAUGUAUGGUGUAGCGGUGAAAUGCUUAGAGAUCAGACAGAACACCGAUGGCGAAGGCAGCUUACCAAGCUACUUCUGACGUUGAGGCACGAAAGCGUGGGGAGCAAACAGGAUUAGAUACCCGGGUAGUC
Molecule: ribosomal RNA, 460 nt
Filed under: uncultured bacterium
Lineage: Bacteria
Description: partial 16S ribosomal RNA
Rfam family: Bacterial small subunit ribosomal RNA
Source: RNAcentral